This 447-nucleotide ribosomal RNA is filed under the name uncultured bacterium. RNAcentral's name for it is "partial 16S ribosomal RNA". It matches the Rfam family "Bacterial small subunit ribosomal RNA", at positions 29 to 523 of the family's 1533-position model. The record is from RNAcentral.
AGCGAACGCUGGCGGCAGGCUUAACACAUGCAAGUCGAGCGCCCCGCAAGGGGAGCGGCAGACGGGAAAGUAACACGUGGGAACGUACCCUUCAGUUCGGAACAACCCAGGGAAACUUGGGCUAAUACCGGAUACGUCCGAAAGGAGAAAGAUUUAUCGCUGAAGGAUCGGCCCGCGUCUGAUUAGCUAGUUGGUGAGGUAACGGCUCACCAAGGCGACGAUCAGUAGCUGGUCUGAGAGGAUGAUCAGCCUCAUUGGGACUGAGACACGGCCCAAACUCCUACGGGAGGCAGCAGUGGGGAAUAUUGGACAAUGGGCGCAAGCCUGAUCCAGCCAUGCCGCGUGGGUGAUGAAGGCCCUAGGGUUGUAAAGCCCUUUCGGCGGGGAAGAUAAUGACGGUACCCGCAGAAGAAGCCCCGGCUAACUUCGUGCCAGCCGCCGCUGUAA